GACGAACGCUGGCGGCGCGCCUAACACAUGCAAGUCGAACGGAGCUGAGAGAAGCUUGCUUUUCUUAGCUUAGUGGCGAACGGGUGAGUAACGCGUGAGUAACCUGCCCUGGAGUGGGGGACAACAGUUGGAAACGACUGCUAAUACCGCAUAAGCCCACGAUCCGGCAUCGGAUUGAGGGAAAAGGAUUUAUUCGCUUCAGGAUGGACUCGCGUCCAAUUAGCUAGUUGGUGAGGUAACGGCCCACCAAGGCGACGAUUGGUAGCCGGACUGAGAGGUUGAACGGCCACAUUGGGACUGAGACACGGCCCAGACUCCUACGGGAAGCAGCAGUGGGGGAUAUUGCACAAUGGGGGAAACCCUGAUGCAGCGACGCCGCGUGGAGGAAGAAGGUUUCCGGAUUGUAAACUCCUGUCGUUAGGGACGAUAAUGACGGUACCUAACAAGAAAGCACCGGCUAACUACGUG
This 468-nucleotide ribosomal RNA is filed under the name uncultured bacterium. Its description in RNAcentral is "partial 16S ribosomal RNA". It matches the Rfam family "Bacterial small subunit ribosomal RNA", at positions 28 to 507 of the family's 1533-position model. The record is from RNAcentral.